This 58-nucleotide transfer RNA is filed under the name Salmo salar (Atlantic salmon). It matches the Rfam family "tRNA", at positions 8 to 63 of the family's 71-position model. From Rfam's summary of the family: Transfer RNA (tRNA) molecules are approximately 80 nucleotides in length. Their secondary structure includes four short double-helical elements and three loops (D, anti-codon, and T loops). Further hydrogen bonds mediate the characteristic L-shaped molecular structure. tRNAs have two regions of fundamental functional importance: the anti-codon, which is responsible for specific mRNA codon recognition, and the 3' end, to which the tRNAs corresponding amino acid is attached (by aminoacyl-tRNA synthetases). tRNAs cope with the degeneracy of the genetic code in two manners: having more than one tRNA (with a specific anti-codon) for a particular amino acid; and 'wobble' base-pairing, i.e. permitting non-standard base-pairing at the 3rd anti-codon position. The record is from Rfam by way of RNAcentral. Lineage: Eukaryota; Metazoa; Chordata; Actinopteri; Salmoniformes; Salmonidae.
UAGCUCAGUUGGUAUAGCAUGGUGUUUGCAACACCCGGGUUGUGGGUUUGAUUCCCAU